GACGAACGCUGGCGGCGUGCCUAAUACAUGCAAGUAGAACGCACAGUUUAUACCGUAGCUUGCUACACCAUAGACUGUGAGUUGCGAACGGGUGAGUAACGCGUAGGUAACCUGCCUGGUAGCGGGGGAUAACUAUUGGAAACGAUAGCUAAUACCGCAUAAUAUUAAUUAUUGCAUGAUAAUUGAUUGAAAGAUGCAACUGCAUCACUACCAGAUGGACCUGCGUUGUAUUAGCUAGUAGGUGAGGUAACGGCUCACCUAGGCGACGAUACAUAGCCGACCUGAGAGGGUGAUCGGCCACACUGGGACUGAGACACGGCCCAGACUCCUACGGGAGGCAGCAGUAGGGAAUCUUCGGCAAUGGACGAAAGUCUGACCGAGCAACGCCGCGUGAGUGAAGAAGGUUUUCGGAUCGUAAAGCUCUGUUGUAAGAGAAGAACGGGUGUGAGAGUGGAAAGUUCACACUGUGACGGUAUCUGACCAGAAAGGGACGGCUAACUACGUG
RNAcentral lists this ribosomal RNA (505 nucleotides) under uncultured bacterium. Its description in RNAcentral is "partial 16S ribosomal RNA". It matches the Rfam family "Bacterial small subunit ribosomal RNA", at positions 28 to 507 of the family's 1533-position model. The record is from RNAcentral.